RNAcentral lists this ribosomal RNA (641 nucleotides) under uncultured bacterium. RNAcentral's name for it is "bacterial SSU rRNA". It matches the Rfam family "Bacterial small subunit ribosomal RNA", at positions 104 to 730 of the family's 1533-position model. The record is from RNAcentral.
GGGUGAGUAAUACAUAGGUAACCUGCCCCUGUGCGGGGGUAUCUACCGGAGGAAACUCCUGCUAAUACCGCAUAGCCAUGAGCACCGCAUGGAGCUCAUGCCAAAUAUCCUUCAGGGGAUAGCGCAGGGAUGGACCUAUGGCGCAUUAGCUAGUUGGCGGGGCAACGGCCCACCAAGGCAACGAUGCGUAGCCGGCCUGAGAGGGCGGACGGCCACAUUGGGACUGAGACACGGCCCAGACUCCUACGGGAGGCAGCAGUAGGGAAUUUUCGGCAAUGGGGGAAACCCUGACCGAGCAACGCCGCGUGAGCGAAGAAGGCCUUCGGGUCGUAAAGCUCUGUUGUAAAGGAAGAACGUCGCAUGCAGGAAAUGGUGUGCGAGUGACGGUACUUUACCAGAAAGCCACGGCUAACUACGUGCCAGCAGCCGCGGUAAUACGUAGGUGGCGAGCGUUAUCCGGAAUCAUUGGGCGUAAAGAGGGAGCAGGCGGCCGCAAGGGUCUGUGGUGAAAGACCGAAGCUAAACUUCGGUAAGCCAUGGAAACCGGGCGGCUAGAGUGCGGAAGAGGAUCGUGGAAUUCCAUGUGUAGCGGUGAAAUGCGUAGAUAUAUGGAGGAACACCAGUGGCGAAGGCGACGGUCU